RNAcentral lists this long non-coding RNA (269 nucleotides) under Medicago truncatula (barrel medic). RNAcentral's name for it is "lncRNA gene41141". Lineage: Eukaryota; Viridiplantae; Streptophyta; Magnoliopsida; Fabales; Fabaceae. The record is from RNAcentral.
CGCCGUCUGUUAUGCGACCACUGGAGUCACACUGUAUAUGCCUUUCGUCUUGUGCUUGAGAGGAUAUGUGUUAGAAUUUCCAUAUAAGAUGAGAUUUAUUGACUAAAAAGUAUGUUUAUAAGUGGUGGGUUGUCCUUAUUUUGGAAUCCAAUAUUGUAGUUUGAGUCAGGUUUAACACAAUUUCUAAUAUCAUCUGAAGGAAGAUUGAAAACUCAAUUUAGUCUUUUGUAAUUUUCUCGUAAUUCAAUCUAAUCAUCGAUAAAAAAAAU